CCAGGCGCUCGCGCAUGCGCACAUCGGCAGGCUGGAGCAGAUGUGGUGGAAGACUUGAAACUCGCCUGCGGUUUUGAUGGGAAGUCUCCCGGUGCCCCUCUGUCGUCGGCCUGAACCGAGAAGCCGGCAGCAGCUCCUGCCCUUUCGGCCAGACGUGCCUACAGAGCUGCUAUUGUUUCCCUCAGAGUCCUAACCUGGCUGCAGGAGCACCGCUGCUGACGUUGUGUUUGAUUUCCAGAACAUAUUCGGCUGCAACUCACUCCUCUUCAGCUUUUCAGCAGAUCCAGGGUUGUAGGAAAGUCAAAGGCCAUUUCCGCCAAACUCAGGCCUAACUGAAUCUCAAAGGAGAAAAACUGAAGGGCAACAACCAGGCAUUGAAUUUGAUUCAGAAAGAUCUCUUUGGUGGCUUUUACACCUUGAUGUACAAACACCUUUAAAAGAAGAUCGAUAUUCUUCAUGUAUCUGCUGGAGGAAGGGUCUCAGACAGCCUCCCCAGGUCACCUUGAGCCCUGAGAUGAUAAACGGCAGCAUCCCGUCCCAUCCUGGCCUGUGUUGUUCCUUCUCCACACCCGCUCCUGCUCCAUCCUACCUUCUGUACUUGCUGCCCUUUGCAACCACCUCCUCUUCCCUGAACUUGGGCCAAAGCUGACUUGGCUGAGACAACCACAGCAUUGCUGCCUAUUUACCUUGGAAUAAUACAAAAUAAAAGCUGUGCUGACACUCUUGAGUUUAUCGAG
RNAcentral lists this long non-coding RNA (737 nucleotides) under Bos indicus x Bos taurus (hybrid cattle). RNAcentral's name for it is "lncRNA (ENSBIXG00000004877.1)". The record is from RNAcentral. Lineage: Eukaryota; Metazoa; Chordata; Mammalia; Artiodactyla; Bovidae.